This 268-nucleotide ribosomal RNA is filed under the name uncultured prokaryote. RNAcentral's name for it is "partial 16S ribosomal RNA". It matches the Rfam family "Bacterial small subunit ribosomal RNA", at positions 524 to 792 of the family's 1533-position model. The record is from RNAcentral.
CACAUAGGGGACGAGCGUUAUCCGGAUUUACUGGGCGUAAAGUGCGUGGAGGCGGUUCCGUAAGUUGGAUGUGAAAGCUCCGGGCUCAACUCGGAGAGGCCAUUCAAUACUGCGGAACUUGAGGACAGCAGAGGGAGGUGGAAUUCCCGGUGGAGCGGUGAAAUGCGUAGAGAUCGGGAGGAACACCAGUGGCGAAGGCGGCCUCCUGGGCUGUUCCUGACGCUGAAGGCGAAAGCUAGGGGAGCAAACAGGAUUAGAUACCCCUGUA